This 72-nucleotide transfer RNA is filed under the name Maledivibacter halophilus. RNAcentral's name for it is "Clostridium halophilum tRNA". It matches the Rfam family "tRNA". Rfam says of the family: Transfer RNA (tRNA) molecules are approximately 80 nucleotides in length. Their secondary structure includes four short double-helical elements and three loops (D, anti-codon, and T loops). Lineage: Bacteria; Bacillati; Bacillota; Clostridia; Peptostreptococcales; Caminicellaceae. The record is from Rfam by way of RNAcentral.
GCGGUAGUGGCUCAGUGGUAGAGCAUCGCCUUCCCAAGGCGAGGGUCGUGGGUUCAAAUCCCAUCUACCGCU